UACGUAGGUGGCAAGCGUUGUCCGGAAUUAUUGGGCGUAAAGCGCGCGCAGGCGGUCCUUUAAGUCUGAUGUGAAAGCCCACGGCUCAACCGUGGAGGGUCAUUGGAAACUGGAGGACUUGAGUGCAGAAGAGGAUAGUGGAACUCCAUGUGUAGCGGUGAAAUGCGUAGAUAUAUGGAAGAACACCAGUGGCGAAGGCGACUUUCUGGUCUGUAACUGACACUGAGGCGCGAAAGCGUGGGGAGCAAACAGG
Molecule: ribosomal RNA, 253 nt
Filed under: uncultured bacterium
Lineage: Bacteria
Description: partial 16S ribosomal RNA
Rfam family: Bacterial small subunit ribosomal RNA
Source: RNAcentral